AUGCACACGAAUCACAUACUCCGUGAGUUCCAUUACAAGAACAAGUCCAUCAACUUCAGCAAGCUCAUGGUGAAAAGGAUCUUCAAUGUGCCAUCCGGUGAUGGACCUGUGAAGCUUUUAAAAAAGAGCGAUGAACAUGUCCUUUGCAACAUAUACAAGGAGGGAAACAGGGCGCCAAUUGCACAUGUUAUCAAGUUGCUUAAAGAUUGCGGCAAUGAGGACAAGGUUAUGAUAAAUAGGACAUGGGCACUCAUUGCGUUGGCAACAGUUGUGUGCCCAGGCACUGGUAAUAUGGUUAACCUUGAGUAUCUAUCUUCCCUUGAAGACAUGCACUCGAUGCAUGACCUCGCUUGGGAUAAACACUUGUUGACACGAGCAAUGGAGGAGGUUGUAGUCUUUCAAGAGAAGAAGAGGAUGCAAGUAACAGCAGAAAAUCCAGUAGAGUUCCAGAUUUGCUCAUGCCUUCCCAUGUUAGCGGAUCAUAUAUAUGGAUCAUGUUGA
This 501-nucleotide ribosomal RNA is filed under the name Triticum aestivum (bread wheat). Its description in RNAcentral is "partial small subunit ribosomal RNA". The record is from RNAcentral. Lineage: Eukaryota; Viridiplantae; Streptophyta; Magnoliopsida; Poales; Poaceae.